UACGUAGGGGGCAAGCGCUGUCCGGAAUCAUUGGGCGUAAAGAGCGUGUAGGCGGCCCGAUAAGUCCGCUGUGAAAGUCCAGGGCUCAACCCUGGGAUGCCGGUGGAUACUGUCGGGCUCGAGUCCGGAAGAGGAGUGUGGAAUUCCUGGUGUAGCGGUGAAAUGCGCAGAUAUCAGGAGGAACACCAAUGGCGAAGGCAGCACUCUGGGACGUGACUGACGCUGAGACGCGAAAGCGUGGGGAGCAAACAGG
RNAcentral lists this ribosomal RNA (253 nucleotides) under uncultured bacterium. RNAcentral describes it as "partial 16S ribosomal RNA". It matches the Rfam family "Bacterial small subunit ribosomal RNA", at positions 524 to 776 of the family's 1533-position model. The record is from RNAcentral.